This 231-nucleotide ribosomal RNA is filed under the name uncultured bacterium. RNAcentral's name for it is "partial 16S ribosomal RNA". It matches the Rfam family "Bacterial small subunit ribosomal RNA", at positions 548 to 776 of the family's 1533-position model. The record is from RNAcentral.
GAAUUACUGGGCGUAAAGCGCGCGCAGGCGGUCCUUUAAGUCUACCCGUGAAAUGCCGGAGCUCAACUCCGUGCACGCCGGGGGAUACUGGGGGACUGGAGACAUGUAGAGGCAAGCGGAAUUCCGGGUGUAGCGGUGGAAUGCGUAGAUAUCCGGAAGAACACCUGAGGCGAAGGCGGCUUGCUGGGCAUGAUCGGACGCUGAGGCGCGAAAGCGUGGGGAGCAAACAGG